RNAcentral lists this ribosomal RNA (257 nucleotides) under uncultured bacterium. Its description in RNAcentral is "partial 16S ribosomal RNA". It matches the Rfam family "Bacterial small subunit ribosomal RNA", at positions 97 to 354 of the family's 1533-position model. The record is from RNAcentral.
CCGGCACGGGUGCGUAACGCGUAUGCAACCUACCAUCAACAGGGGGAUAACACUGAGAAAUUGGUACUAAUACCCCAUAAUAUCUCAUGCGGCAUCGCAUGGGGUUGAAAACUCCGGUGGUUGAUGAUGGGCAUGCGUUGUAUUAGCUGGUUGGUGAGGUAACGGCUCACCAAGGCGACGAUACAUAGGGGGACUGAGAGGUUAACCCCCCACCAUUGGUACUGAGACACGGACCAAACUCCUACGGAAGGCAGCAG